This 497-nucleotide ribosomal RNA is filed under the name uncultured bacterium. Its description in RNAcentral is "partial 16S ribosomal RNA". It matches the Rfam family "Bacterial small subunit ribosomal RNA", at positions 28 to 507 of the family's 1533-position model. The record is from RNAcentral.
GAUGAACGCUGGCGGCGUGCCUAAUACAUGCAAGUCGAGCGAACAGAUGAGGAGCUUGCUCCUCUGACGUUAGCGGCGGACGGGUGAGUAACACGUGGAUAACCUACCUAUAAGACUGGGAUAACUUCGGGAAACCGGAGCUAAUACCGGAUAAUAUAUUGAACCGCAUGGUUCAAUAGUGAAAGACGGUUUUGCUGUCACUUAUAGAUGGAUCCGCGCCGCAUUAGCUAGUUGGUAAGGUAACGGCUUACCAAGGCAACGAUGCGUAGCCGACCUGAGCGGGUGAUCGGCCACACUGGAACUGAGGCACGGUCCAGACUCCUACGGGAGGCAGCAGUAGGGAAUCUUCCGCAAUGGGCGAAAGCCCGACGGAGCAACGCCGCGUGAGUGAUGAAGGUCUUCGGAUCGUAAAACUCUGUUAUUGGGGAAGAACAAAUGUGUAAGUAACUAUGCACGUCUUGACGGUACCUAAUCAGAAAGCCACGGCUAACUACGUG